UUUAAAUGGCCGCAGUAUACUAACUGUGCAAAGGUAGCAUAAUAAUUAGUCUUUUAAUUGAAGGCUGGUAUGAAUGGUUGGACGAGAUAUUAACUGUUUCAUGAAAAUUUAUAUUAGAAUUUUAUUUUUUAGUCAAAAAGCUAAAAUUUAUUUAAAAGACGAGAAGACCCUAUAAAUCUUUAUAUUUAAAUUAUUAUAAUUUUAUAGAUUAUUUUUGUUAUAAUAAUUAAUAAUAUUUUAUUGGGGUGAUAUUAAAAUUUAAUAAACUUUUAAUUGUUUAAAUCAUUAAUUUAUGAAUAAUUGAUCCGUUAUUAACGAUUAAAAAACUAAGUUACUUUAGGGAUAACAGCGUAAUUUUUUUGGAGAGUUCAUAUCGAUAAAAAAGAUUGCGACCUCGAUGUUGGAUUAAGAUAUAAUUUUAGGUGUAGCCGCUUAAAUUUUAAGUCUGUUCGACUUUUAA
RNAcentral lists this ribosomal RNA (460 nucleotides) under Acerocnema macrocera. RNAcentral describes it as "partial 16S ribosomal RNA". It matches the Rfam family "Bacterial large subunit ribosomal RNA", at positions 1922 to 2591 of the family's 2925-position model. Lineage: Eukaryota; Metazoa; Arthropoda; Insecta; Diptera; Scathophagidae. The record is from RNAcentral.